RNAcentral lists this ribosomal RNA (551 nucleotides) under uncultured Glomeromycotina. Its description in RNAcentral is "SSU rRNA". It matches the Rfam family "Eukaryotic small subunit ribosomal RNA", at positions 548 to 1098 of the family's 1831-position model. The record is from RNAcentral. Lineage: Eukaryota; Fungi; Glomeromycota.
UUGGAGGGCAAGUCUGGUGCCAGCAGCCGCGGUAAUUCCAGCUCCAAUAGCGUAUAUUAAAGUUGUUGCAGUUAAAAAGCUCGUAGUUGAACUUCGGGGUCUACCCAUUGGUCAGGCUUAAUUGUCUGCACUGGUGAGAUGGAUCUCUACCUUCUGAGGAACUUUCAUGCCAUUUAUUUGGUGUGAUGGGAAAUCAGGACUGUUACUUUGAAAAAAUUAGAGUGUUUAAAGCAGACUAUCGUCUGAAUACAUUAGCAUGGAAUAAUGAAAUAGGACGGACUGAUUCUAUUUCGUUGGUUCCUAGGAUCACCGUAAUGAUUAAUAGGGAUAGUUGGGGGCAUUAGUAUUCAAUUGUCAGAGGUGAAAUUCUUGGAUUUAUUGAAGACUAACUACUGCGAAAGCAUUUGCCAAGGAUGUUUUCAUUAAUCAAGAACGAAAGUUAGGGGAUCGAAGACGAUCAGAUACCGUCGUAGUCUUAACCAUAAACUAUGCCGACUAGGGAUCGGACGAAGUUAAUUUUAUAAUGACGCGUUCGGCGCCUUACGGGAAAC